This is a non-coding RNA of Vicia faba (fava bean), 315 nucleotides long. The record is from the annotation of a GenBank genome assembly. NCBI's taxonomy places the organism in Eukaryota, Viridiplantae, Streptophyta, Magnoliopsida, Fabales, Fabaceae.
AUGACUUCGUCGCCGCUUAAUAAUAAAUCUAAAAGGAAGUUUGACAACAAAGAUAUACCUUUCAACAAAAGAAAUAAAGGAGCAAGUCUAAUUGCUCAAAGUAUAUAUGAGUUAGGAAAGAAUGUUGGGACUAUGAUUGAAAAAACAUCUGAAAUAUUGGCUGAAGCUGCAAAUCGCUUAGGAGUUGGUAAAUAUGUGUUUGAUGAUUCAAGAAAUAUCAUGAAUGAGUUGAAGAAAAUGGAGCUAACAGAACAAGAGCGAUUUGUUGCCGUUGACAAAAUAUUAUAUGUGCCACAUCGUUUACACAUAUUUUAG